Long non-coding RNA from Hypomesus transpacificus, 665 nucleotides. RefSeq lists it as uncharacterized. The record is from RefSeq and is a predicted model, not a curated record. The transcript has 3 exons. NCBI's taxonomy places the organism in Eukaryota, Metazoa, Chordata, Actinopteri, Osmeriformes, Osmeridae.
AGAGAGAGAGAGAGAGAGAGAGAGAGAGAGAGAGAGAGAGAGAGAGAGAGAGAGAGUCUUCCUUCGGUACAGGAUUCGGAGCAUUAGGACGGACGCAGUAGGCUCCCUCUUUUGCCGUGGUUUGAGCAGUGAUCGGGAUACUAAACACGGAGCCUUCGACUAACCGUGAGCGGCGAGCCUAUCCGUUCACGCGGUGACGGACGAAAAUAUUCACUUGCAUUUUUGAAGUGACGAUUAAGCCUGACGAAUUAAGCGCAUCACCGACUUGGAAUCAAAUUGGUUGAUCACCAUUCUUUCAGUUAAUAUUUUUUCUUGCAGAAAUUAACUGCCACGUACCAUCACUUAUUAUAAGGUUAUUAUAAGGACUCUUCCUUGUGGAUCUGCAGACGAAACGUUCACCGUAGAAAAAAGCCUUGAGGUAGGCUAUGUGGACUAAGGUGUUCCAUUGGCACUGACAUGUGAUACCCUGGGUCUUGCUGUGCAUUUGACUAGGCAGAUACGCAUAUCAGAAUCUAUGGUGUCAGGAGCGUUGAGCUGUGAGCGGAGUAGCCCCCUCCGUGGUCGUCUGGGCUCAACAGGAAGGACCACAACUACUUCCAGGUCAACCUCCGAGGUCAUGUGGACCACACGCCUGCUCUUCCUCAGCACACUGUUCUCUUUGCUCA